UUCGGUGGCGAUAGCGAGGGGGUUCCACCUGUUCCCAUCCCGAACACAGCAGUUAAGCCCCUCAGCGCGGAUGAUACUUGGUCUCAAGGCCCGGGAAAGUACGUCGCUGCCGAAA
This 115-nucleotide ribosomal RNA is filed under the name Peptococcaceae bacterium. The record is from RNAcentral. Lineage: Bacteria; Bacillati; Bacillota; Clostridia; Eubacteriales; Peptococcaceae.